UUUUAACGGUGUAGAUCGUUGAUUUGAACGCCCUAAGAUCGAAAACCAACACUAUAGUACCGGAGCUCGGUACUAUAGAUAGUAUAGUAGCCUAGCUCUAUAUAUAUAUAUAUUUUUUUUCAGAGGAAGGAAGAGAAGGAAUUAGCGUUAUAUGGACGAGUAUUUUCUUCAGAAGAUCCAAAUACUUCUGGGUUAGAACCCGACAAUACUGAUAAUGACCAUGAGGAAGACGAGCUCGAAAUAAAAGCAUCAGUUUCAGGUAAGUUGUAAUUAAUAGAAUUUGUAGCCUUAGGUUAGUAUUAGCAUAGUCUGCCGGCAAAUGAUGAUGAUAGUUUUGUUCCUUUAUCUAUUUUACUAUUAUUGAAGGAUCUGUUGUUAAUUGAAUUUGCUAAAACUUUUGGUUGGUAUUUUUGAAGAAACAAAGACCUAUGAAGAUGGCUGUACCACAAU
This 450-nucleotide long non-coding RNA is filed under the name Ananas comosus (pineapple). RNAcentral describes it as "long non-coding RNA (ACOM_LNC040997)". Lineage: Eukaryota; Viridiplantae; Streptophyta; Magnoliopsida; Poales; Bromeliaceae. The record is from RNAcentral.